AACCUCCGCAAUGUGAGAAAUCGCGACGGGGGGAUCCCAAGUGCCAUUCUUAACGGGAUGGCUUUUCAUUAGUGUAAAGAGCUUUUGGAAUAAGAGCUGGGCAAGACCGGUGCCAGCCGCCGCGGUAACACCGGCAGCUCUAGUGGUAACAAUUUUUAUUGGGCCUAAAGCGUCCGUAGCCGGUUUAAUAAGUCUCUGGUGAAAUCCUGUAGCUUAACUGUGGGAAUUGCUGGAGAUACUAUUAGACUUGAGACCGGGAGAGGUUAGAGGUACUCCCAGGGUAGAGGUGAAAUUCUGUAAUCCUGGGAGGACCGCCUGUUGCGAAGGCGUCUAACUGGAACGGUUCUGACGGUGAGGGACGAAAGUUAGGGGCGCGAACCGGAUUAGAUACCCGGGUAGUCCUAACUGUAAACGAUGCGGACUUGGUGUUGGGGUGGCUUUGAGCUGCUCCAGUGCCGAAGGAAGCUGUUAAGUCCGCCGCCUGGGAAGUACGGUCGCAAGACUGAAACUUAAGGAAGUU
Molecule: ribosomal RNA, 520 nt
Filed under: uncultured bacterium
Lineage: Bacteria
Description: bacterial SSU rRNA
Rfam family: Archaeal small subunit ribosomal RNA
Source: RNAcentral